AUUGAACGCUGGCGGCAUGCUUUACACAUGCAAGUCGGACGGCAGCACAGAGAAGCUUGCUUCUUGGGUGGCGAGUGGCGAACGGGUGAGUAACAUAUCGGAACGUACCGAGCAGUGGGGGAUAACUAAUCGAAAGAUUAGCUAAUACCGCAUAUCUUCUGAGGAAGAAAGCAGGGGACCAUUUGGCCUUGCGCUUUUUGAGCGGCCGAUAUCUGAUUAGCUAGUUGGUGGGGUAAAGGCCUACCAAGGCGACGAUCAGUAGCGGGUCUGAGAGGAGGAUCAGCCAGACUAGAAGUGAGACACGGCCCAGACUCCUACGGGAGGCAGCAGUGGGGAAUUUUGGACAAUGGGCGCAAGCCUGAUCCAGCCAGGCCGAGUGUAAGAAGAAGGCCUUAGGGUUGUAAAGGACUUUUGUCAGGGAAGAAAAGGGCGGGGUUAAUACCCAUGUCUGAUGACGGUACCUGAAGAAUAAGCACCGGCUAACUACGUG
This 490-nucleotide ribosomal RNA is filed under the name uncultured bacterium. Its description in RNAcentral is "partial 16S ribosomal RNA". It matches the Rfam family "Bacterial small subunit ribosomal RNA", at positions 30 to 507 of the family's 1533-position model. The record is from RNAcentral.